AUGUUCAUUCUCUUUCUCGUGAUAAUUCUGAAACUAUGGAAUUUGAUGAAUUCGGUUUUUCUGUUAAGGAUGCUCAUACUUGGAUGGUCCUGCACUGAUGUGACAACCCCGGAGAUUUGUACCCUGUCCAACCACCUUCAUCAUCAUCAUAUUCCGCUGGACCUAUUGCUCUCUCCGCCCGCAUUGACCUCUAGCACGCAUGCCUCGACCACCCUAGCUCCACCACUUUUCAUAAAAAAGUGCGAUGAUUUUCCUUUUUCUGUAAUAAAGCGGGUGCUCAUACUCGUGAAGCAUUUCGUGUUGAAAAACAUGUUCGCCUUCCAUUUAGUUCUUCUUCCACAAUUGCAUCUUUUCCAUUUCAGUUGA
Molecule: ribosomal RNA, 366 nt
Filed under: Triticum aestivum (bread wheat)
Lineage: Eukaryota; Viridiplantae; Streptophyta; Magnoliopsida; Poales; Poaceae
Description: partial small subunit ribosomal RNA
Source: RNAcentral